Molecule: ribosomal RNA, 1342 nt
Filed under: uncultured bacterium
Lineage: Bacteria
Description: 16S ribosomal RNA
Rfam family: Bacterial small subunit ribosomal RNA
Source: RNAcentral
GACGAACGCUGGCGGCGUGCUUAACACAUGCAAGUCGAACGGAAAGGCCCUGCUUUUGUGGGGUGCUCGAGUGGCGAACGGGUGAGUAACACGUGAGUAACCUGCCCUUGACUUUGGGAUAACUUCAGGAAACUGGGGCUAAUACCGGAUAGGAGCUCCUGCUGCAUGGUGGGGGUUGGAAAGUUUCGGCGGUUGGGGAUGGACUCGCGGCUUAUCAGCUUGUUGGUGGGGUAGUGGCUUACCAAGGCUUUGACGGGUAGCCGGCCUGAGAGGGUGACCGGCCACAUUGGGACUGAGAUACGGCCAGACUCCUACGGGAGGCAGCAGUGGGGAAUAUUGCACAAUGGGCGGAAGCCUGAUGCAGCAACGCCGCGUGCGGGAUGACGGCCUUCGGGUUGUAAACCGCUUUCGCCUGUGACGAAGCGUGAGUGACGGUAAUGGGUAAAGAAGCACCGGCUAACUACGUGCCAGCAGCCGCGGUGAUACGUAGGGUGCGAGCGUUGUCCGGAUUUAUUGGGCGUAAAGGGCUCGUAGGUGGUUGAUCGCGUCGGAAGUGUAAUCUUGGGGCUUAACCCUGAGCGUGCUUUCGAUACGGGUUGACUUGAGGAAGGUAGGGGAGAAUGGAAUUCCUGGUGGAGCGGUGGAAUGCGCAGAUAUCAGGAGGAACACCAGUGGCGAAGGCGGUUCUCUGGGCCUUUCCUGACGCUGAGGAGCGAAAGCGUGGGGAGCGAACAGGCUUAGAUACCCUGGUAGUCCACGCUGUAAACGGUGGGUACUAGGUGUGGGGUCCAUUCCACGGGUUCCGUGCCGUAGCUAACGCUUUAAGUACCCCGCCUGGGGAGUACGGCCGCAAGGCUAAAACUCAAAGGAAUUGACGGGGCCCCGCACAAGCGGCGGAGCAUGCGGAUUAAUUCGAUGCAACGCGUAGAACCUUACCUGGGUUUGACAUGGAUCGGGAGUGCUCAGAGAUGGGUGUGCCUCUUUUGGGGUCGGUUCACAGGUGGUGCAUGGCUGUCGUCAGCUCGUGUCGUGAGAUGUUGGGUUAAGUCCCGCAACGAGCGCAACCCUUGUUCACUGUUGCCAGCACGUUAUGGUGGGGACUCAGUGGAGACCGCCGGGGUCAACUCGGAGGAAGGUGGGGAUGACGCCAAGUCAUCAUGCCCCUUAUGUCCAGGGCUUCACGCAUGCUACAAUGGCUGGUACAGAGAGUGGCGAGCCUGUGAGGGUGAGCGAAUCUCGGAAAGCCGGUCUCAGUUCGGAUUGGGGUCUGCAACUCGACCUCAUGAAGUCGGAGUCGCUAGUAAUCGCAGAUCAGCAACGCUGCGGUGAAUACGUUCCCGGG